CAGUAGCCGCGGUAAUACGUAGGUGGCAAGCGUUGUCCGGAAUUAUUGGGCGUAAAGCGCGCGCAGGCGGAUAGGUCAGUCUGCCUUAAAAGUUCGGGGCUUAACCCCGUGGUGAGAUGGAAACUGCCAAUCUAGAGUAUCGGAGAGGAAAGUGGAAUUCCUAGUGUAGCGGUGAAAUGCGUAGAUAUUAGGAAGAACACCAGUGGCGAAGGCGACUUUCUGGACGAAAACUGACGCUGAGGCGUGAAAGCCAGGGGAGCGAACGGGAUUAGAUACCCCAGUAGUCCCUGUCUCUUAUACA
Molecule: ribosomal RNA, 301 nt
Filed under: uncultured bacterium
Lineage: Bacteria
Description: partial 16S ribosomal RNA
Rfam family: Bacterial small subunit ribosomal RNA
Source: RNAcentral